RNAcentral lists this ribosomal RNA (2191 nucleotides) under Listeria monocytogenes. RNAcentral describes it as "partial 23S ribosomal RNA". It matches the Rfam family "Bacterial large subunit ribosomal RNA", at positions 1 to 2184 of the family's 2925-position model. The record is from RNAcentral. Lineage: Bacteria; Bacillati; Bacillota; Bacilli; Caryophanales; Listeriaceae.
GGUUAAGUUAGAAAGGGCGCACGGUGGAUGCCUUGGCACUAGGAGCCGAAGAAGGACGGGACUAACACCGAUAUGCUUUGGGGAGCUGUACGUAAGCGUUGAUCCAGAGAUUUCCGAAUGGGGGAACCCACUAUCUUUAGUCGGAUAGUAUCCUUACGUGAAUACAUAGCGUGAGGAAGGCAGACCCAGGGAACUGAAACAUCUAAGUACCUGGAGGAAGAGAAAGAAAAAUCGAUUUCCUGAGUAGCGGCGAGCGAAACGGAAAGAGCCCAAACCAAGAAGCUUGCUUCUUGGGGUUGUAGGACACUCUAUACGGAGUUACAAAAGAAAGUUAUAAAUGAAGCGGUCUGGAAAGGCCCGCCAAAGACGGUAACAGCCCGGUAGUUGAAAUGGCUUUCCCUCCAGAGUGGAUCCUGAGUACGGCGGACCACGUGAAAUUCCGUCGGAAUCCGGGAGGACCAUCUCCCAAGGCUAAAUACUCCCUAGUGACCGAUAGUGAACCAGUACCGUGAGGGAGAGGUGAAAAGCACCCCGGAAGGGGAGUGAAACAGUUCCUGAAACCGUGUGCCUACAAGUAGUUAGAGCCCGUUAAUGGGUGAUAGCGUGCCUUUUGUAGAAUGAACCGGCGAGUUACGAUUUGUUGCAAGGUUAAGCGGAAAAAGCGGAGCCGUAGCGAAAGCGAGUCUGAAUAGGGCGCAUAAGUAACAGGUCGUAGACCCGAAACCAGGUGAUCUACCCAUGUCCAGGAUGAAGGUAAGGUAAUACUUACUGGAGGUCCGAACCCACGCACGUUGAAAAGUGCGGGGAUGAGGUGUGGGUAGCGGAGAAAUUCCAAUCGAACUUGGAGAUAGCUGGUUCUCUCCGAAAUAGCUUUAGGGCUAGCCUCGAGGUAAAGAGUCAUGGAGGUAGAGCACUGUUUGGACUAGGGGCCCUUCUCGGGUUACCGAAUUCAGAUAAACUCCGAAUGCCAUGUACUUAUACUCGGGAGUCAGACUGCGAGUGAUAAGAUCCGUAGUCGAAAGGGAAACAGCCCAGACCACCAGUUAAGGUCCCCAAAUAUAUGUUAAGUGGAAAAGGAUGUGGGGUUGCUUAGACAACCAGGAUGUUGGCUUAGAAGCAGCCACCAUUGAAAGAGUGCGUAAUAGCUCACUGGUCGAGUGACCCCGCGCCGAAAAUGUACCGGGGCUAAACAUAUUACCGAAACUGUGGAUGAACCUCUUUAGAGGUUCGUGGUAGGAGAGCGUUCUAAGGGCGGUGAAGUCAGACCGGAAGGACUGGUGGAGCGCUUAGAAGUGAGAAUGCCGGUAUGAGUAGCGAAAGAAGGGUGAGAAUCCCUUCCACCGAAUAUCUAAGGUUUCCUGAGGAAGGCUCGUCCGCUCAGGGUUAGUCGGGACCUAAGCCGAGGCCGAUAGGCGUAGGCGAUGGACAACAGGUAGAGAUUCCUGUACCAGUGCUAAUUGUUUAACCGAUGGGGUGACACAGAAGGAUAGGGAAUCGCACGAAUGGAAAUGUGCGUCCAAGCAGUGAGUGUGAGAAGUAGGCAAAUCCGCUUCUCGCGAAGCAUGAGCUGUGAUGGGGAAGGAAAUUAAGUACGGAAGUUCCUGAUUUCACGCUGUCAAGAAAAGCCUCUAGGAAGAGUAGUACUGCCCGUACCGCAAACCGACACAGGUAGAUGAGGAGAGAAUCCUAAGGUGAGCGAGAGAACUCUCGUUAAGGAACUCGGCAAAAUGACCCCGUAACUUCGGGAGAAGGGGUGCUCUAUUAGGGUGCAAGCCCGAGAGAGCCGCAGUGAAUAGGCCCAGGCGACUGUUUAGCAAAAACACAGGUCUCUGCAAAACCGUAAGGUGACGUAUAGGGGCUGACGCCUGCCCGGUGCUGGAAGGUUAAGAGGAGUGCUUAGCUUCGGCGAAGGUACGAAUUGAAGCCCCAGUAAACGGCGGCCGUAACUAUAACGGUCCUAAGGUAGCGAAAUUCCUUGUCGGGUAAGUUCCGACCCGCACGAAAGGCGCAACGAUCUGGGCACUGUCUCAACGAGAGACUCGGUGAAAUUAUAGUACCUGUGAAGAUGCAGGUUACCCGCGACAGGACGGAAAGACCCCGUGGAGCUUUACUGCAACCUGAUAUGGAAUGUUUGUACCGCUUGUACAGGAUAGGUAGGAGCCGAAGAGACGUGUGCGCUAGCAUACGAGGA